ACCGAGAGUGGUCCAGGACAUCUGGUUCUCAUCCAGGAAAUCACCGGUUCAAAUCCGGUACGCGGUA
Molecule: non-coding RNA, 67 nt
Organism: Candidatus Gottesmanbacteria bacterium
Lineage: Bacteria; Candidatus Gottesmaniibacteriota
Source: Rfam